Molecule: ribosomal RNA, 468 nt
Filed under: uncultured bacterium
Lineage: Bacteria
Description: partial 16S ribosomal RNA
Rfam family: Bacterial small subunit ribosomal RNA
Source: RNAcentral
GACGAACGCUGGCGGCGUGCUUAACACAUGCAAGUCGAACGGAAAGGCCCUGCUUUUGUGGGGUGCUCGAGUGGCGAACGGGUGAGUAACACGUGAGUAACCUGCCCUUGACUUUGGGAUAACUGCUGGAAACUGGGGCUAAUACCGGAUAGGAGCACCUGCUGCAUGGUGGGGGUCGGAAAGGUUCGGCGGUUGGGGAUGGACUCGCGGCUUAUCAGCUUGUUGGUGGGGUAGUGGCUUACCAAGGCUAUGACGGGUAGCCGGCCUGAGAGGGUGACCGGCCACAUUGGGACUGAGAUACGGCCCAGACUCCUACGGGAGGCAGCAGUGGGGAAUAUUGCACAAUGGGCGGAAGCCUGAUGCAGCAACGCCGCGUGCGGGAUGACGGCCUUCGGGUUGUAAACCGCUUUCGGCUGGGAAGAAGCGAGAGUGACGGUAAUGGCUGAAGAAGCACCGGCUAACUACGUG